CGCAUGACAGUGCAGUGCAGUGCCCCUAGUGGCGGAAGUCGUUAAAACCACCCAAAAAGUCAGUGGGGUAGCCAUUUUGAUUCCUAACAGUGGAGAGCGUAUGAUCACAUCCACUUCCAUCCUCUUUCUUUUGACAAGUUCAGGCACAAUCUCUCACUGUUCCACACAACAUCGCUAUUUGCCAUGGAUGCUAAUUUGCCGUCUCAGACGAGGAGUUAAGACAGAGAGAGGAUGAACUGGCAGCGCCGCAUCACUGUGGAGAGCGGCAGAGCGGGACGAGAGAGGCGCCUCGCGGCGCACUUGACCAAUGAAUCAACAUGUGAGGAUAAAAAGUCCACCUGGACCGGACCGGGCUCGGCGGUGACUGCGCAAUCUGCCGAAGGUUGUCGUCGAUGGAAGUGAGCAGCGGGAGAGCGCAAAUCUGG
Hippocampus comes (tiger tail seahorse) is the source of this 425-nucleotide long non-coding RNA. RefSeq lists it as uncharacterized. The transcript has 3 exons. The record is from RefSeq and is a predicted model, not a curated record. Lineage: Eukaryota; Metazoa; Chordata; Actinopteri; Syngnathiformes; Syngnathidae.